RNAcentral lists this long non-coding RNA (649 nucleotides) under Nicotiana tabacum (common tobacco). RNAcentral describes it as "long non-coding RNA (NTAB_LNC007270)". Lineage: Eukaryota; Viridiplantae; Streptophyta; Magnoliopsida; Solanales; Solanaceae. The record is from RNAcentral.
AUGCUAACUAAAGGAAAAGUUCAGUUUAGGGUUUAAAACCCUAAUGCUGACUAAAGGGAAAAAGUUCAGUUUAGGGUUUAAAACCCUAAUGCUGACUAAAGGAAAGAGUUCAGUUUAAGGUUUAAAACCCUAGUGCUGACUAAAUGGAAAAAGUUCAAUUUAGGGUUUAAAACCCUAAUGCUGACUAAAGGGAAAAAGUUCAGUUUAGGGUUUAAAACCCUAAUGCUGACUAAAGGGAAAAAGUUCAGUUUAGGGUUUAAAACCCUAAUGCUGACUAAAGAAAAAGUUCAGUUUAGGGUUUAAAACCCUAAUGCUGACUAGAGGAAAAGUUCAGUUUAGGGUUUAAAACCCUAAUACUGACUGCAUGGAAAAGCUCAGUUUAGGGUUUAAAACCUUAAAGCUGGCUGAAUGGAAAAAAAGUUCAGUUAGGGUUUAAAACCCUAAUGCUGAUUAAAGGAAAAAGUUCAGUUUAGGGUUUAAAACCCUAAUGCUGACUAAAGGAAAAGUUCAGUUUAGGGUUUAAAACCCUAAUGCUGACUGAAAGGAAAGAGUUCAGUUUAGGGUUUAAAACCCUAAUGUUGAUUGCAUGGAAAAGCUCAGUUUAGGGUUUAAAAACCUAAUGCUGGCUAAAUGGAAAAAUGUUCAGUUU